CCAAGACCAGGGGCUGGCAGCUGGUCUCAGUAUCGAGACCCCCUUCCUGACAGUCAGCGCCCCAGACACGGAGAGGCGGCUUCUCAAGGGCUUACGCUCCCUGCUGCCCGGGGUGGUGACUUGGCAGGUACUCAGGUGUCGUUGAGGGGUGAGUCAUGAUUUAUAUGAGUGUGACGAAAGCCUACAACAGCUUUCUCUGUCAUGGAGGUGGCCAGCCUAGGGCUGGCAUCCUGAUUUUAUCAUAAUCAGGAGCUGAAGGUCUCUGAUUAUAUAGAGGAUAUAGAGGGAAAAACAAACUCAGACUCAGUUUCUCCUGUGCCCUCACAACUCAGGUCGCUUCUGACGCCACAUGUGUUUUUGCCCACAUACCAAGCUAGCAGGCAUGCUGCAGCAGCACACUCCUAAUUUAAUUAGAUCCCCUAAUCUACUGGGGGUCCUUUUAGACUGCAUAAUUUGAAGGCUCAGCCCCUGGGACUGCCCCCACCCCUAAAUGCCAGUCACAAGCCCCCAGGUUGGUUUCACGCUGCUUCUGACUGACUGGCUAUCAAUAAGGAUUCCCACUACCCCCUCUCUGUAAGUUUGAUUAAUUUGCUUAAGUGACUCCUGGAACUCAGGGAAGAACUUAGGAUUCCCAGUGGCUUCUUAACAAGGAUAUCACAAAGGAUAUGGACAGAGCAAGGUGUGGGGAAGGGGGCGGUCCUUUCCUGCCCUCCCUGGUUGCAUCACACUCUAGAACCCCCAGAUGCUCAGCUAUCCAGAAGCUCUCCAAACCCUGUCCUAUAGGGUUUGUAUGGAGACCUCGUUGCAUAGACAUGAUUGAAUCUUGGGCAGCAGUAGAAAGUGACUGGACAAAAAGGGUCUGAUCAAAUGCCGGCAGAUUCAGUGGAGAAGCCCAGCCUGGCCUGUCCAGAUCCUUCUUGGCCUUUCUGGCCAGCAUCCUUUCCUUACUGGUAUGGGCAAGCUCCCUUCUGAAAUGCGUUUUAGGAUCAGAAAAGCGUAGGUCAGACACUUCAUAGCCAUCUCCAAGAUGGAAAGGUGGGGCAGAUCUGUGUUUCUGAGCCACUUUGGGGAAGAAUAAUAGUUUCCAAGGCCUACCUUGGAGAGAGAAAGAAGCGAGUGAAAGGGCAGAAAGGUCAGAGAGAGGGAUGUUGCUUCCUGAGACUUGUUAACGAGGUCCAACUCACCAACCCUUUUCUAGAAACUUAGGAAAUAACAAGAUCUGUGGAUGUUGUGAGCCAGGAACCACUGACAAAACUCAAAAUAGAUACGCAAUGUCUCAGGCUCCUCCUGAGCUGUUCCUGCCCGCUUCACCUGCGGCUGGAGUUCAGGCUGGUUGCUGGAGCUCCAGCCACGUCUCAGCAGUAGGAAGCAGGAAAGGUCAAAGACGGACAUGCCCCUUCCCACAGGAAUACACCCCACACAUCAUAAAGGACACUUGAGCAAGCAGAGCCGAGUCGCGGGGCCACGUGGAUGGCAGGGUAGGAAAUGCGUUUGUAUUUCAGGCGGCUAUGGAGUACGCGAUAAAGGAAGAGGAGGAGAGUGAUUAUUUGGGGCAAAUAGCUGACCCCCCCUCGCUGGAAGGGUCAGGUACUCCAAGACGGGUGGACCGUGUGAUUGUUCCUGUGCUCUUCCCUGUUCAGAGAUCUUGCUUUAAAAUGGCUUCUGGGCCGGCGCCGCGGCUCACUAGGCUAAUCCUCUGCCUAGCGGCGCCGGCACACCGGGUUCUAGUCCCGGUCGGGGCGCCGGAUUCUGUCCCGGUUGCCCCUCUUCCAGGCCAGCUCUCUGCUGUGGCCAGGGAGUGCAGUGGAGGAUGGCCCAGGUGCUUGGGCCCUGCACCCCAUGGGAGACCAGGAAAAGCACCUGGCUCCUGGCUCCUGCCAUCAGAUCAGCGCGGUGCACCGGCCGCAGUGCGCCUGCCGCGGCAGCCAUUGGAGGGUGAACCAACACAAAGGAAGACCUUUCUCUCUGUCUCUCUCUAGCACUGUCCACUCUGCCUGUUA
Molecule: non-coding RNA, 2000 nt
Organism: Oryctolagus cuniculus (rabbit)
Lineage: Eukaryota; Metazoa; Chordata; Mammalia; Lagomorpha; Leporidae
Source: RefSeq, a predicted model, not a curated record